Molecule: non-coding RNA, 510 nt
Organism: Chiloscyllium plagiosum (whitespotted bambooshark)
Lineage: Eukaryota; Metazoa; Chordata; Chondrichthyes; Orectolobiformes; Hemiscylliidae
Source: RefSeq, a predicted model, not a curated record
UUUCUAAUGCAGCAAUGAAGAGAGUUGAACCUUCUUCAGCAUUUCAGAACCAGACAGAACUCAUUUAUGAAAGUCCCUCUAUUUUGACAAACUUGGUUUUGCUUUUGGAGGCUGAGGCUGUCCGCAGAAUGAGAGCAAGUCAGAGACCAGAAAGACUUCAAGUGGGUGACAGCAGAAAGGGCACUUGCAGUCUCGUUGAUUCUCUCUGCAACCAUCCUAAAAAGUUUGUAUCCUGCUUCUCUAUGGCAAGCUAACCACCAGGCUGAAUUUUCAACAUUAAGCAAGCAGUUGCUGACUCUGCAACAAAGGACAGAUCAUCCAUCAACCUUUCCAAUCAUCCUGCUGCAUAAUCCAGAAGAUCACAAAGUCGCUCUAACCACAAUAUUACCUGCAUCCUCAAUGUGACGAAAAUUAAAAUACUCUGACUGACACUUUGAUGAAAGACUUCAAGCAGCACAAGAGAGGAGCUGCCUUCUGCAAUUGGCAUCUGUUUACGUACUGAACAGAAGC